RNAcentral lists this ribosomal RNA (253 nucleotides) under uncultured bacterium. RNAcentral describes it as "partial 16S ribosomal RNA". It matches the Rfam family "Bacterial small subunit ribosomal RNA", at positions 524 to 776 of the family's 1533-position model. The record is from RNAcentral.
UACGUAGGGUCCGAGCGUUGUCCGGAAUUACUGGGCGUAAAGAGCCCGUAGGUGGUUUGUCGCGUUGUCCGUGAAAACUCACAGCUUAACUGUGGGCGUGCGGGCGAUACGGGCAGACUGGAGUACUGCAGGGGAGACUGGAAUUCCUGGUGUAGCGGUGGAAUGCGCAGAUAUCAGGAGGAACACCGGUGGCGAAGGCGGGUCUCUGGGCAGUAACUGACGCUGAGGAGCGAAAGCGUGGGGAGCGAACAGG